CAGCAAGUUUUCUAUUCAAUUUCGGGAAAAGGCUAGAAUAUAUGUUUACGUCACACAUAAUAACAAUGGCAACCGGCAAAAUGUUAACGGUAACAACCACCAUAUUGGCUUAGCGAGUGCAGGAGAGCGAGAGCGAGAGCGAAAGAACGCAACUGUCAUUCACGUGUGACUCCCUGCAUGUAUGUAUGUGUGAAAUUCUGCGGCGGCGUCUUAAACCGAAGUGUGGCAACCUUUCCCAGAAAAAAAUUUCCUAUCUGGCAAGUCGUACAAUUUUCACUUAAAUU
Long non-coding RNA from Drosophila innubila, 284 nucleotides. RefSeq lists it as uncharacterized. The transcript has 2 exons. NCBI's taxonomy places the organism in Eukaryota, Metazoa, Arthropoda, Insecta, Diptera, Drosophilidae. The record is from RefSeq and is a predicted model, not a curated record.